Molecule: long non-coding RNA, 1172 nt
Organism: Astatotilapia calliptera (eastern happy)
Lineage: Eukaryota; Metazoa; Chordata; Actinopteri; Cichliformes; Cichlidae
Source: Ensembl
GUGAAGAAUAAAGGUGGUCAAACCAAAUACUGACUCUAACUCUCAUUAGAAUUGAAAAAAACAACAACUAUUUUUACCUUAUAUGUAGUAUUUUCAUGUGUUUUUGCACGUUUCAAUGAAUUACUGGACCUAUUUUUCCUUGCAAAAUAAGAAAAAAUCAAAGGUGACUCAAGGCUAUUUGCACAGUCCUCUAUGCUCCCAAAAUAAGGUAAUAAUGCUUUUCUGGACAGCAUGUGAGAGAUUUGCUAAAACAAUUCAAUAUUAAACUGUAAUCCAAGAGCAAAGAUCUAAUCCCCUGGCACUACAUAUUUGUAACAUAAAACAAAUCAAACCAGUAUUUAAAUGAUUGGGAUUCAUAAAUUAGUCCAUGUAGUAUAAGAAAGGGGAUGAGAAAUAGCCAUUAGGGGUCAAGUUAAACAUCUUAACUAAGAUUUAGAUAAAUAAUGUAUCUUCAACACUCAUUUGAUAAAAAAGUCAUCUGUAUUAUGAGCAUGAUUUCAAAUUCAUUUAAUGCAACUUUAGUUUAGCAUUUUAUGACACCAAAGUUCGUUAGCCCAUAUGGUCAGGUCAAGGAGAAAAGCCGAGGGAGUGCCAGGCUCGGCAGAAAAAGAUAGGGUUCACUCUUGGCAGACUGUAUGAAAUUAUGAAUAAAUAACCCAACAUGCUGUUAGCCUGGAGAUAAAACACACAACAUUAUCUUUCUACCCCACCCCCUGAAAAAAUAAUAAAAAAUUAAAUAAAAAAAGUAAUGCCAAAAACAGAUGGCUGCGCCUUCCUGUAUGUCUCAGGCCUUUCCAUCUCAGAGAACCAUUGGCUCGUGCCUGAAUUACUUGCACAUGCAAUACACAAGUGUGCUCUCACCUACAAAUACACUGAAUAUCUUUCUCUCAAGCACACAGGCAUGUUCUUUCAUGGCCCUUCUCUUGUUUCCUGCCCAACAAUUCUCCCAUUCCCCCCCCCCCCCAGUAUCUCCGCUCUCCAAAAACCCUCGCUAAUAAAUAUUAAUGCUGACUUCCAUGUGGUGGGACAGGGCUUACUCACAACCAAAUGAUCCUCACACAGAAUAAUGAAGCUGCUGGGAUCCAGGUGAGAGGACGGAGGGAGGCUUAUGUAACUCAGUGCCAUGUCAGGUAGGUUUCAUCCAUAAUUUAACACUCGGAGAAGCAGAUUGG